RNAcentral lists this ribosomal RNA (485 nucleotides) under uncultured bacterium. RNAcentral's name for it is "partial 16S ribosomal RNA". It matches the Rfam family "Bacterial small subunit ribosomal RNA", at positions 27 to 507 of the family's 1533-position model. The record is from RNAcentral.
GAUUGAACGCUGGCGGCAUGCUUUACACAUGCAAGUCGAACGGCAGCGCGGGCUUCGGCCUGGCGGCGAGUGGCGAACGGGUGAGUAAUGCAUCGGAACGUGCCCAGUAGUGGGGGAUAGCCCGGCGAAAGCCGGAUUAAUACCGCAUACGACCUGAGGGUGAAAGCGGGGGACCGAAAGGCCUCGCGCUAUUGGAGCGGCCGAUGUCGGAUUAGCUAGUUGGUGGGGUAAAGGCUUACCAAGGCGACGAUCCGUAGCUGGUCUGAGAGGACGACCAGCCACACUGGGACUGAGACACGGCCCAGACUCCUACGGGAGGCAGCAGUGGGGAAUUUUGGACAAUGGGGGCAACCCUGAUCCAGCCAUGCCGCGUGCGGGAAGAAGGCCUUCGGGUUGUAAACCGCUUUUGUUCGGGAAGAAAUACUCUGGGCUAAUACCCCGGGGGGAUGACGGUACCGGAAGAAUAAGCACCGGCUAACUACGUG